UUUUUUUUUUUUUUUUUAAAACUCCACUUUCUUCCUCCUGCAAAAACUGCAACGUAGAGUCACGUUCCCAUACCCACUGUGGGUGUCAGGAGUGUCCCCCUAUUCUAGGCUGGGGGAAGGAUAGGGGUUUCAACUCUCUCCCCAGGUUCCUGAUGCAGCCUGUGCCCCACCCCCACCCGGUACCCACGAAGUCAGUAGCCGAGGAAGGGAUUCCCAGAGGCAGCUCCCAGGCUAGGACAGGGAACGGAGAGUCUGGCCCCUCCUGGAGGGCGCCCAGCCCUGCCCCCAGCCGGCAGGGUCUCUCAUGGGGUCUGGCUCAGCAGCAGACAGUGGCACUGUGCACAGGGGUGGGGGUGGGAGUGGGGACAUGGAGAGGGACAGGACUCCCGGGAGAGGUGGGGAGGGAGCGGAGAGCUGUGCAGAGGGAAGAGAGACAAGGGGGAAUGGGGGCUUGGCGAGGUCCUGGCUCCGUGGGAGGCCGCGCUGCAGACCACCUGGGAAGAAAGGGUUAGUGCUGGCGGAGGAGAGAGGGGUGAGCAGAGAAUUCACUCCAAGGCCCAGGCCCGACUGAGGGUCCCUCAGGGGGGCGGUCCCAGGUCCAGCCUCGGAGGGGGGCAGGGGGAGGGAACCAGGCGCUAGGAUAAAGACCCAGCCCGCCCCAGCCAGGCCCCCCACCUCCCCUGGCCCGGACCCCGAUUUACCUGCGACCAUCCCCGGCUCGGGAGGAGGGACCAAGGCAGCGCUGAUGUCAGAAAGGUGGGGGGCCCCGCCCCACCCCCCCAAUCCCUGAAAAGGAGGAAAACCUCAACUGCAUCUCGUUGGCCGCUGCUGGCCGGCCCACCCUUGCCCAGUCACGUCCCAGCGCCACCUACUCCUAGCCUCCCCUUGACUGAUCCUGGGGUCAGUGUGGCCAGACCCCCCCACCUCCUCCCAGAGUGCCGACAUCCAUGCGCCCCUCCAUCCAGGAUGGCCGGGCCUCCCUCACCUCCCGGCUGGCAGAACCCACACACAGGCCGGGGCGAGGGCACGGGGCGAGGGCGGAGGGUUUGCAGUGAAUUCUCUGCUCCUGCUUGGCCUGUCACCAAAGCAGCUGGCCCCAAUGGGACCGGGGGGGGCUGGGACCUGGCACCGGCUUGGGGGGCAGCCCCAGUGGCAAGAGGGGCUCGGGCAAGAGCUAGUCCUCAUUCCCCACCUUCAGCAGGCUUGGGAGGGAGGGGGACAGGCAGCACUCCCUUCACAGCGUGGGGACAAUGUGGCUCAGGGCCCCCGGCACAAAGCAGCCAGGAGGAUGUAGUUUUGUAGAGGGAGAGAAGCCUGGGACAUAGAGCUGGCCAGGAGCCAGAACGACCCUGGCUUGGGCCCUGGGGACUGGCCAUCUCCCUGUCCCUGAUGCCCCGAGGGGGUCAGCCUGCACACUCCGUCCAGCACACUGGCUCUGCCCAAGCCGGUCCCCACCCCCGCCAGGUGUGUGGCAUCUGAGGGGACAUGUUUGUGUGAGGGGGAUGGUGGGAGGCCUCAGAGCCUAACCUGCUCAGAGGGUAUCAGGGGAGGAAAAAUGUGGUUAGAGGUCAACCCAGGGGAAGGGGGAGAAGAUGAGGAAGGGUCUGUGGGGCCUUGGACAGCAAGGACCUUUCACCAGCACCAAGCUCCCAAUCCCUCCUCUUCCCUCCCUUACCCCAUCACCCCACCCGCCCUGCCCUGGCCCUCGAAGAGAAAAGCUCCAGUGGUGCCGCAUCCAAACCAGUGGGCCUGCAAGAAGAGUGGCUGGUGCUGGGAGGGAGAGAGACUCCAGGAGAGAGAGAGGAGAGUGGAGGGGUGCAGUGAGGGGGCGGACCUCGGGCCAACAGCCCAGGCCUCUCUGAGAUGGGGGAGAGGGGAAGACGGGGAGGGGAGCAGCUCAGAGGGGCCCUGCCCCACCUCCUUCGGAAGGGAUGCUCCACAGACCACUGUAAUUUCAAGGCAAAAGGGAUCCCUAAAGGCCAUUCCUCCAGCCCCCGCCGCUGCCAGCCUCAAAUGGGUAAUUUCCCAAAACUUUCAGGGGAGGAAAUGGUCAUCCCUAACGUCUCACCCUAGAAGCCCCUCAGCAGCAGCACCUCCGCCCCACCAGUAACGGACAGCCCCAUCCACUAGGGAGUUCUCUGCCAGAAAUUACAGAGUCUGUGGAAGUCCCCAGACUGUGCCCCCCCCGCCCGCCGCCCCUCUCCCUGGUCCUCUAACCACAACAGCCCAGAAGAAACCCUGACUGCAGCUUUGCAAGUGUGAAAGAAACAGAGAACACGCUCCCCACCCUUCGCCUCCCCCCAACCAUGAGGCCCGCCCGCCCCCCUCGCCCUCAUUUUUUCAUUUUUGGCAGGCUGCCCCUCCCAGGGCUGGGGACAGCUGACACCUCCCAGGGCUGGGCCCCAGCUGGUCAGAGAUGGGAUCGGGUUGGUGGGGGGACUGGUGCUCCGUGCUCCAAAACAGCUCUGGGCCUUGGAAACGUCAAACCAGAAGGAACUUAAGCCACCAGGAGCCCGAGACAUAGGAGGAAUCUGCUCCCCAAAAGGAAAACAAUGGUGUCCCCUCCAGCCCGCCUCCCCUGAACCAGAAACAUGUUAUAAAAGGUGCAGGUGAAGGAGGAAGAGAGAGGGGAGAGACAGAG
This is a long non-coding RNA of Macaca fascicularis (crab-eating macaque), 2641 nucleotides long. The record is from Ensembl. Lineage: Eukaryota; Metazoa; Chordata; Mammalia; Primates; Cercopithecidae.